GCCUUCCUCAACUCUCAAGAACGGCUUCCGCCGUUUCUGUUAUCUCCGUCGAUCUCAAGAAGGGGAAGUGGUUGAGGCGGAGACCACCACGGGAGCCGUUCCCUUCCGGCUCCAAUUGGAUAAGCCCAUCCCCGUCAAGGUCGAUCCAUCGUAACCCUAACACUUUCUUGAUCUCUUGACUCUUCUUGAUCUGUGAUGUGUCUGCUUCUUUGGCGUAGAUCAGAAUGGGAUCCCGAGAAGAUAUGCUCGCCGCGGUCACCGAGGACUCCAUGAUCGUAACCCUUGCAUAGAUCAAGAUCGGAGCUCACAGAGGACUCCAAGAUCGUCUUGCCUCAUUUCAAGUGGCAGAGGCUUUGGAUUAUCCUCCUCCCCACGGUAAAUUCUUUUGAUCCCGAUACUUCUAUUUCCUGGGGUCGAAAUCUUAGUGUCAUUUGUGGUCUGCGUUUUGCACCUGCUAAAAGAUUUAUGUGGAGUUCAAUCUUUUCUCUGUUUCUUGAUUCUAGUUUUCUCCACUAACUUUCCGUGCUAUGGGAUAAACCACUUAGAAGGAAAUGCGAUUGAUACAUCAGCAUUGAGGUGACGAGGCGUAUUGACAUAGAUAGAUCUGGUUACAUGCAAGAGGAAGAAAAGAGAUCCCGGACUUGUUGGUUUGGUGUUUGAUGGUAAAGACUCAUGAAAUGCAAGUAAAGGAAUGCUAAAGAGGAAACUGGACAUUCUUGGCUACAUAUAUGCCAAUGGCUUUUAGUUGUGAAACCGACAAAUGGUUGUGUCUUUCUUCUUGGUGAUCACCUAAAACAUCCUGAUAUCUAGCCACUUUGAUUACACUAUAGCGGUUUUAAGCAUGGUUUUAGAUAUUGAUCAAGUGCUGGUCUCGACACAUUAUUACACCGGUUGAUGUACUAAUUAAUAGAUGACAAGUUUUAUAAGAAAAAAUAUAAAACAAAAAAUAGAAAACAAAGACUGACUUAUAUUUGAGACCAUGUUUUAAAUGC
RNAcentral lists this long non-coding RNA (992 nucleotides) under Musa acuminata (dwarf banana). Its description in RNAcentral is "long non-coding RNA (MACU_LNC005028)". Lineage: Eukaryota; Viridiplantae; Streptophyta; Magnoliopsida; Zingiberales; Musaceae. The record is from RNAcentral.